ACUGCUCUUCCAGAGGUCCUGAU
RNAcentral lists this non-coding RNA (23 nucleotides) under Cricetulus griseus (Chinese hamster). The record is from RNAcentral. Lineage: Eukaryota; Metazoa; Chordata; Mammalia; Rodentia; Cricetidae.